Molecule: ribosomal RNA, 1401 nt
Filed under: uncultured bacterium
Lineage: Bacteria
Description: bacterial SSU rRNA
Rfam family: Bacterial small subunit ribosomal RNA
Source: RNAcentral
AGAGUUUGAUCCUGGCUCAGAUUGAACGCUGGCGGCAGGCCUAACACAUGCAAGUCGAACGGUAACAGGAAGCAGCUUGCUGCUUCGCUGACGAGUGGCGGACGGGUGAGUAAUGUCUGGGAAACUGCCUGAUGGAGGGGGAUAACUACUGGAAACGGUAGCUAAUACCGCAUAACGUCGCAAGACCAAAGAGGGGGACCUUCGGGCCUCUUGCCAUCGGAUGUGCCCAGAUGGGAUUAGCUUGUUGGUGGGGUAACGGCUCACCAAGGCGACGAUCCCUAGCUGGUCUGAGAGGAUGACCAGCCACACUGGAACUGAGACACGGUCCAGACUCCUACGGGAGGCAGCAGUGGGGAAUAUUGCACAAUGGGCGCAAGCCUGAUGCAGCCAUGCCGCGUGUAUGAAGAAGGCCUUCGGGUUGUAAAGUACUUUCAGCGGGGAGGAAGGGAGUAAAGUUAAUACCUCUGCUCAUUGACGUUACCCGCAGAAGAAGCACCGGCUAACUCCGUGCCAGCAGCCGCGGUAAUACGGAGGGUGCAAGCGUUAAUCGGAAUUACUGGGCGUAAAGCGCACGCAGGCGGUUUGUUAAGUCAGAUGUGAAAUCCCCGGGCUCAACCUGGGAACUGCAUCUGAUACUGGCAAGCUUGAGUCUCGUAGAGGGGGGUAGAAUUCCAGGUGUAGCGGUGAAAUGCGUAGAGAUCUGGAGGAAUACCGGUGGCGAAGGCGGCCCCCUGGACGAAGACUGACGCUCAGGUGCGAAAGCGUGGGGAGCAAACAGGAUUAGAUACCUUGGUAGUCCACGCCGUAAACGAUGUCGACUUGGAGGUUGUGCCCUUGAGGCGUGGCUUCCGGAGCUAACGCGUUAAGUCGACCGCCUGGGGAGUACGGCCGCAAGGUUAAAACUCAAAUGAAUUGACGGGGGCCCGCACAAGCGGUGGAGCAUGUGGUUUAAUUCGAUGCAACGCGAAGAACCUUACCUGGUCUUGACAUCCACGGAAGUUUUCAGAGAUGAGAAUGUGCCUUCGGGAACCGUGAGACAGGUGCUGCAUGGCUGUCGUCAGCUCGUGUUGUGAAAUGUUGGGUUAAGUCCCGCAACGAGCGCAACCCUUAUCCUUUGUUGCCAGCGGUCCGGCCGGGAACUCAAAGGAGACUGCCAGUGAUAAACUGGAGGAAGGUGGGGAUGACGUCAAGUCAUCAUGGCCCUUACGACCAGGGCUACACACGUGCUACAAUGGCGCAUACAAAGAGAAGCGACCUCGCGAGAGCAAGCGGACCUCAUAAAGUGCGUCGUAGUCCGGAUUGGAGUCUGCAACUCGACUCCAUGAAGUCGGAAUCGCUAGUAAUCGUGGAUCAGAAUGCCACGGUGAAUACGUUCCCGGGCCUUGCACUCACCGCCCGUCA